Molecule: transfer-messenger RNA, 369 nt
Filed under: Saprospiraceae
Lineage: Bacteria; Pseudomonadati; Bacteroidota; Saprospiria; Saprospirales
Also listed under: 1 other name
Description: UBA3362 sp016714025 Standard tmRNA
Rfam family: transfer-messenger RNA
About the family: Bacterial tmRNA, also known as 10Sa RNA or SsrA, is named for its dual tRNA and mRNA-like properties. Its role is to liberate the mRNA from a stalled ribosome. To accomplish this part of the tmRNA is used as a reading frame that ends in a translation stop signal.
Source: RNAcentral
GGGGUUGUAUUGGAAUCGACAGGAAAUGUAAUGGUUUAGUAAGCAUGUCGUAGGAUGAUAGCACGCUACGUAAAAAACGGGUAUCGACUUUUAAAUGGCAAUACUUCUUUUGCUGUUGCAGCCUAAUUCUAGUAGUUAGUAUGCAUCUGUGUCCCGGGAUGGAUGUCUGAUAAAUUCCGCAUGACACAUCAUAAAACAUCAGGCUGGAUGCUUAAUAGUCCCGCUUAAUCAUCGAGAAAGAGGGAAUAAGGUUUGGUAAGCUCGUUUUCUAAGCUCCACCAAAUCUGACAAGUAAAUAGAAAACUAAACAUGUAGAAAGUUAAAUGAUUCUUUCUCUGGACGCGGGUUCGAAUCCCGCCAGCUCCACCA